Molecule: ribosomal RNA, 468 nt
Filed under: uncultured bacterium
Lineage: Bacteria
Description: partial 16S ribosomal RNA
Rfam family: Bacterial small subunit ribosomal RNA
Source: RNAcentral
GACGAACGCUGGCGGCGUGCUUAACACAUGCAAGUCGAACGGAAAGGCCCUGCUUUUGUGGGGUGCUCGAGUGGCGAACGGGUGAGUAACACGUGAGUAACCUGCCCUUGACUUUGGGAUAACUUCAGGAAACUGGGGCUAAUACCGGAUAGGAGCUCCUGCUGCAUGGUGGGGGUUGGAAAGUUUCGGCGGUUGGGGAUGGACUCGCGGCUUAUCAGCUUGUUGGUGGGGUAGUGGCUUACCAAGGCUUUGACGGGUAGCCGGCCUGAGAGGGUGACCGGCCACAUUGGGACUGAGAUACGGCCCAGACUCCUACGAGAGGCAGCAGUGGGGAAUAUUGCACAAUGGGCGGAAGCCUGAUGCAGCAACGCCGCGUGCGGGAUGACGGCCUUCGGGUUGUAAACCGCUUUUGCCUGUGACGAAGCGUAAGUGACGGUAAUGGGUAAAGAAGCACCGGCUAACUACGUG